GGACUGCAGGGACUGCAUUGGGACCAUGGGCCCCGAGGGCUUGUGUGACCAGCACUCCAGCUCCACAAAGAACCUUGAAGCCAUCAUGCCUAUUAUAAUGCAUUUAUAUGAAUGGUCAUUAGGAUAGCACAUAAGGAAUUCCCUGUCAUUUCAGUAAGUUCUGUCAUGUCCUGAUAGGCUCUGUGUUGCCGGUCAUACUGCCAUGCUAAUGCCAGGGAGGUCGUGGUUGACCGUAGUUUACAGAUCAUGAGGAAUGGGCUAAUUGGACUUGUAAAGAAACGUACUCGCCUUUACAUGGGCAACCGGGUAGAGCUUCAACACCCCUGAAAGCACAGGUAGGUGAGAAGGCUGAAGCUCCCGCUCUGAGAAAUGAAUGGCGACGUGCAGCUCCAGGUCCUGAGCACUGAGGCUGGGAGACACGCAGACGUGGAAGUAGGAACCAGAGGGGAGCCCGGGCUGAGCGGUGGGAUGGGACUGCCACAUCGCUCAGAUGCCUUUUCCCAUGGAAACUGCUUUGUGUUCGGUCCAACGAAGCUCCUCCUGCCUGGGCAGCAGGAGGCCAUGGGCCCCUGGCUUACGGCUAUAUCCCCAGCACUUGGAGCUGUGGCUAGCACGUUAGGCACUUGA
Molecule: long non-coding RNA, 627 nt
Filed under: Ailuropoda melanoleuca (giant panda)
Lineage: Eukaryota; Metazoa; Chordata; Mammalia; Carnivora; Ursidae
Description: lncRNA (ENSAMEG00000027385.1)
Source: RNAcentral